RNAcentral lists this long non-coding RNA (291 nucleotides) under Vicia faba (fava bean). The record is from RNAcentral. Lineage: Eukaryota; Viridiplantae; Streptophyta; Magnoliopsida; Fabales; Fabaceae.
AUGAAAGUAGUAUUGAAGGUGGACUUUAAUAAUGACAAAAUCAAGCAAAAAGUUAUCAAAACAUCAUCUAGUCUUUCAGGGGUUGAAUCAAUAUCAAUGGACAUGAAUGAGAAGAAAUUGACAUUAUUAGGAGAUAUUGAUCCGGUAAAGGCAGAAUUCAAGCUAAGAAAAUUGUGUCAUAUUGAAAUAGUUUCUGUUGGACCUCUAGAAGAGAAGAAGGAAGAGUCAACAAAUGUGGCUAUUCCUCUAAAUUCCUUUAAACCCUAUUCAUUCUAUUAUCAAAUAUAUUAA